AUCAAGUGAGGUGCAGGGUUCCGUGAAUGUACCUUGGGGUCAUUUUCCAGCCCCCACACAGCAGAGGGCUUCUGCUAGGCAGGGGACACUGGCUCUCCCAGCUCUGGUGGGAGGCGUCCCACUGACCUUCCAAACCUGCUCUUCUGUUUUCCCAGCCAAUUCUCAGGCACCAGGGUGGCAAUGAUGUCACCAACAGCAGUGACACAUUGGUUAUUUUUCUUCAGGACACUGCCCCGAGGAGGAUGGGCUGUUUACUUUGAGGUGAUGUGCCGAGAGCUGGAGACGGGUUCCACACGUCCUGAGACCGCUGCCUAGGAAGUGCUGCUGACCAGCCUCCUGCACGCAGAGUGAAGUCCAUGCCGAGCCAGCUGAGAUCCGUGAAGUGACCACCAGCAUGGCCGACACUCUGCAGAGAGGUCUUGUCAUUGUCUUGUAUUUGGAGUGCCACAGACUCAGGGCUGGAACCCUCAUGAGAGUCCCCAUCUGGUCACAGAGCACCGUGUUGGCUGGGCAAGGAGAGACGUGUGACCACAGCUGACUGACUCGUUAACGAGUCAGUGGGGACAGGAGAGGAGGUAGAGCCACACUCAGCACCUCACCUGGGCCACAGCCCUCGGGGCUCACCUGGCAGGCGGCAGAGGCGGCCGGGCGUCUUUGGCACAAGGUGCUUCUCCUGGGGAUGCAGGGGAAUGUGGGAGGAUGGGACUCGCUACUGCAGAGCCAGGGCCUGUGACAUCUGCUGUGGCCACGAUUCCAAGUCAUGGUGCACUGAGCCGUGAGCCCCACAGCUGGCCUGGCUCAGUGACUGCCCAGGGGACAGGGUGAGCUGGACACAUCCCUGUCGUCACGUCAAGAGAAGAGGAUGUCUUCACAGUGUUUCCGAAGACAAGAAGGGCUCUUUGGAGCUUUGAUUUCUUGGAAAAUACCACACACAGCAAAGAUUGGCACACUGUUGCAGAGUUUGCACAUAUCACACAAUGACGGGAAAUGUCCUGGCCUGGGACAUUCUCACUCAGUGGACCCUGAAGCUUGCAGAGAAAGGCGGCAGAAGGGAGCGCAGGCUUCUCUUCCAAAGACAGACACUCAGAUCUGUCGCGUUCCCGGUAACUAAAACACUCAGGGUCACUCCAGGGAACCUGGCUACACGAAAUAACCACACAGAGACAGAGAGACCUUUUUCUUUGGGGGCCCUGUGAUGGCUCCUCUGACCUUAGGGGUCCACAGAAAGACAGAGCAAGCGCAGGCUGAACCCUUUUUUGAGGAGAAGCCAUUCCAAUGAGGCCAGGGGUCAGGGUUCAGGGGGCAGAGUCUAGCUUCCUGAUGUCCACUGUCAGCAGGUUGACUGACGUCUAGGAAGGCCACACCCAAAGGCAGAGCAAGAGAAGGGGACACACAGAGGGCGUUUCCAUGGGACAUUCUAUCCCAAACAAGGGUUCAGCAAGGGGGUGAUAUCACAAAGGAACAGUGAGCGUAGCUUGACCCCUGGGGCUGCAGGAAGGUGCGCCUACGCAUGAAGACACAUUUUGCGACAUUUUGUGACUUCCAAGAUCAGGGCAGCCAUCUAGAGCCACUUUGAUGUGGCCAGAUCACUUGGAAGUGACCAACAGCGCCUCAACCGAUCAGAGGAUGGAAAUGCUGGUCACCUAGUGGGAUGGCCCCCCACAGAUCCAUGAGGGACUCUAGUUUUGAAAGCCCGGGUGCCUUAUCUGCCAUGUGUCCCUUGGGAGCCGUGCCUCCCAGGUGCACCAGAGCAUGGGCCAGGCUGGACCAUGGAUCAAGCAGUCUCCAGAUCCACGAUGGCUCAUUUCCAUCCAGGCUCCGUGCCCAGGAGAGGUGACAGGUUUUAACUGUGGUCCUGACCCCAGGACCAAGCCGGCCCCUGGCCAACCAAACACCACGCCUCCUACUGUGCAGGGGUGGGGCAGCAGGUGGCAGCCCAGUGUGGUGCUAGGAGUGACGUGGCAAUAGCAUCUGGACCAGCAGAGCCGUGCUGGGAUUUCUACAGUCCCUGAGCCACCUCAGCUCCUCCUUCUCACAGGCUUGUGUCCGGGAGGCCCCAUCACUGGCCGACCCAGGGAGGCCCAGCGCACAGGCUCCUGAGCAGCCACUGGCUCCUGGGCACAGCAGGAGCCACAGGGUAAGCAGAGGCCUGGGGGCAGCAGUUCUGCGGUCUGUCCAGAGGUCAGCAGCACAGCUCUGAGCCUCGGCACCCAUCCACUCCCCAGUCUUAGGAAGCUGCACUCUCGGGGCAGCAUGUCCAGCCAGUGUCCAGUUGGGUGCUGCCGGGCUGAGGAUGGCCUCCUCUUGAUGGGGUUUUUCUGGCUGCCAACCCCUGCUCACCCAGAUGGCUCAGGCCCACCUGCCACCCCUCCUCCUGCCCCGGGGACGUGGGGCCUGGCAGACGUCAUGGAGGGCACACCAUCCAGGUGCAGAUGGCCCCUGGGCCAGGACCAGCUGGCCCCUGGGCCACACUGGGAAGGGAAGCUCCUGCCCAGGGCUGCGAGAAGCACCAAUGUUGCUGCUCAGCCUCCUCCAAGGUGUGUUAAAAAUGGGACCAGCAGAGGCACCUCGUCCUCCGUGCGCCAGUGACACUGACAAUGAGACUAAAAAUAACAGGCGCUUCUCCUGCAGGCGAGAGUGCGAGCUCACGCUGCCUCCCGCACAGCGGCUCCCUCCCACACCACCGAGGGGCACAGAGCCAGGCAGCUGGAGCCACAGAGCAGAGCAGGGCCCUGGGCCCCUGGACCCCCACAGAUGGCCGCAAAUCCCACCUGACCAGCUGGCGUCACUGCCCAUGCACACUUGGACCCCACCAGCCAAUGGUUUUUGGAGUGGACUGGGAAAGGGCAGUGAAGGGCCACUUGGGCCUGUCUUUCCUGCUUCAGAACCGCUCUGGACUUUCUCCUGGUGCCAUUGGAUGUCCCUGUCCAGUGAGGAGGCUGGCAUGUUGGGGCAGUGGGCAUCACCUGAGCAGCACCAACCUCUCUCUCCCCUGGCUCAUGGCAGAGGGGUCUCCAACCUAGAGCUAGGGCCACAGGCUCCAGAAGCUCCAAAGUCCCUCCUCCACAGGUCAGGAGGCCGGGAGCAGGGGAGGUAGUCCAGUGGGUGGUGUAGGCCAGGUGAGGCCCCCGCCCUUGCUCCCCACCUGUUCGCCAUGUCCCCUGCCCUGUCGGGACAUGCCCCAGCAGUGCCACCUGGGAGCUCAGGGCUUGCACAGCCUAGACUGGGGCCCCUCACAAGUUCCUCCCAGUGGAGGGGCUGAGAGCCUCCUGCACCCCUGCUCCUGCCCACUCCACAUUCCCUGGCCACAGCUCCAGCACAUGGACCUGGACUUGUGGGACUUGUGAGGCGACAGGAGGCACAGGAAUCUCAAGCCCAGAGAGCACCCAGGGCACCAGGCUCCUCCUGUCUCCUCCCAUCUGCCGACGUGUCCUCCCUGCCAAGUGGGGCAGGGCCUGGGAGGAGGUCGCAGAGCCACCUCUAGAUGGGGUCUCUCCACUGGGGCCUGGCUUGGAGACAGUGGAGUCAGGGUCCCCUCCAACCAGCUGCUCUGGGGCAAGAGCCACGGCCUCCAUGCAGGCAGCAGCUCUGUCCCUGCCACGCCUGCAGGGCCCCAUGGCAUCCACAUUGCCCAGUCUCUGCCCAGGCCCUCUGGACAGGACCUGGUACCCAGAAUGGGGGAGGCACAGGAACCUCAAGCCCAGAGAGCACCAAGGGCUUGAGCCGGUGUUGAGGGAUGACUCUUGCUGAGGGUCACCAAGGACCCCACCCACCCUUCCUCUGGCCCUCAGGAGACCAGCCUGCCUCCAGUUCCCUGGCCAUCUACUCCCAGGCCAAGGAGAGAAUGAGGCCCUUGUGUGGGGACAGAAGCCCCUGCAGGCCAGGGUGUGCAGACAGGGCCCCGUCCAGUCGUGCUCCACUGUCCCAGGGUGGUGGCAGCAGCUUCUUGGCUCCCUUCCCCUCCCAGGAGGCGGGCAGCUCUGCCAGCUGUCUCCAGAAAGUGUUUGUGAUCCGACUCCUGGAAAAACCAUCUGAUUGACAGGCUCCGAGAGAUGGGCAAACCCCACCGCAGGGCAGGAGGCAGGGGUUUCUUCAGAUCCCCUGCCAGGCUGGAAUCCAGCACUAAGUGGGGACAUGAAGGGCCCUGGAAAACUCAGAGCACGUGGGUGUCCGGCUCCCAUGGGCACUGAUGCCACAGAAUCUUAUUUUGUAGGCCCCUGCCCCAAGCAAAUGGAGGCCUUGGUCCAGGAGGUCAAGUCCAAGGGGGCUAGGGAUAUAGCUCAGUUGGUAGAGUGUUUGCAUGCACAAGGCCCUGGGUUCUAAUCCCCAGCGCACACACACAAAAGGUCAAGUUCAAGAACAAAAAGACUGCCCCCCAACACACACACACACACAGGGGCAAAAACAAAAUCUACACACACGCAUGCUCGCACACUCGCUCACACAGGCAUGCACACACCAGCCCUGUCUCAGCACUGUGGGGUGUGUUGAGGACCAGUGGCUAACGAGUAUUGAAUAACUGAACAUAAGGGACAUGCUGCUAGGUCUCACCGUCGGAUGGGAGUCCUGCUGUAGCGCAGCGUUCGGCAGAACGCAUCCACUGCCACCUCCACUGGCCACCCCAUGAGCAUCACCGUUGCCCAAGCUCUCAGCACCCCUGCAGCCCACAGCCAUAGGCCCACAGGCCACCAAAGGGCUAGAUCUGUGUGUAGGAGGAACGGCCUCUGAAAGGGACUGCUCCAUCGCAGCACCAGCCAACCAGGACACACCUGGACAGUCCCCUUGCUCUGCCCCUGCAGCAUCCUGAGGCUCACUGCAGCUGAGCUCUGUGACCCUAAGGGUGGGAAACUGCAGCUGGACCUCAGGGCCCUCUCAGGACACUACAAAGAGCCCAAGGACACAGGCCUCACUGACAACACCCCAUCUCAGUGUGGCCCUGCUGCCUGUGUGGGUCACACACGUGGGUGGGGCCUCAUCAAGGUGCCAACAUGGAGGAUGGCUAACAUCAGCUGCUCCUGGUCUAUCUCUGGUCAUCCGCAGGGUGCCAGGGCCUUGACCUGUUGAGAUAUAGGCUUGGCCCUCCCCACAGAUGGUUCUAAGUCUGUGACCCAGGAGAAAAGAGCCUAGGGUGGGUACACCUGUAGAGGUGUGCUCUGGGCAGAGAUGUCACAGUGAGGAGGUAAUGGGAGCAGGAACCCUGGUGCCCUCCAGGACAGGGGGUACAGUGCCCUGAGAGAAGCAGAGGUGGCCCUGGAAUGCUGCUACCUGUUGGCAGCAGCCAGGCCCCUGGGUGGCCCCAUGGCUCUGGGCCCCCACUCCUUGUCCUCACAGGGGAGGGCUGACUAUAAACUGGGAGUCUUACGUGAGGAUCUCCAAGUCCAGUUGCACCCCGUCUGGGGCCUGGCAGCUAGUGAGGCUUUGACUUCAUACCCCACCUCCUGGUGUCACGUUGCCAGGAGCUGAGGAGGGAGACCCUGCUGGGCUCUCCCUCUGCGGCCUGCCUGAGCAGUGGCCCUCUGGGCACACAGAGGCACGCUGCAGAGCAGCUGGCCAUAGUUCUUGGCAUGCACUCACACUAGGCUGAGAUGCUGCUCACAUUUUUCUAGGUGUGUAUAGUGGAAACAAAACCAAAAUAUUAUCACAAGGCUAAGUUUGUUUUACAGCUGCUUAUGAUCUAUGAUGGUGCUUGUUUGAGCCUCAUCUAAACAGCUUCCCGGAGCUCCCAGCCACUUCCACCCCCACACACACUCCCUGGCAGCUGAGUCUGAGGGUGACUCCAGAGGUUCUCCACGCAGCACCAGGGGAGAGAAGCCCUGGCCUGAGGGGUGGGGUCUUCUCAGCAGGAGGCUGACACCCUGAGGCUCCAGGCCCGGUUUUCUCCUGGGCAUAGCUGGACAAGUUCCAGUUCUUAGGGUUGAGAUUGAAGGAGAAACUCAUUUUCUCAGCAGGGGUGUUAUCUGCCAAGGGCUUGGGAUUCCUGUAUUUGCUGUGACUAACCUGACCAUGCGGUUCUGAAGCUAUGGAGCUUGUUUGUGGGAGGAAUUUUGAAAAGUUCAGAGUUGCAAGCUGGAAAAACUUUAGAAUGUUAUAGCUUAACUGAAAAUUCUGGUGGGAGCUCAGAAGACCAGGACUGUGGACAGUAAAGACUGGGCUCAUUAGGUUGCAGAGCAGAAAUAGGACUCUAUCGGAAACUGGACUAUAGGCCAUUUGUCUUAUGUUCUGGCUAUGAAGUUGUCUGCAUUUUGCCCACAUUCUGAGAUUUUCUGUGAGGUUAAAUUUAAAGGUGGUGGAUUAAUUAAUGUGGUGGAAAAAAUUUCAAGGCAGCUCAGCAUUCAGGAGGUAGUGUAGAUAUUGCUGGUGGCUUCUAGCCAAGUUUACUUUGAUAAUCAGGAGUAGGAGGUAGAGCAAAAAAAAUUGAAAAACUUGCAGUGUGUAAAACUAAGGCCAAGGAAGAUAUGGUUAUUAAAGAAAUUAUAACUACUACAGAAAUGCUAAGUACUUUACCCAGAAACAAUAAGAGAGAGGGUUUGAGGGGAUCCCAGGAAUUGGCAAGACCACACCCAUCUAGGGUCAAGGGUGUAAAAGUAAAAAUUCCUUUGAGAAGAGACCAGUGCACCCUGCAUGAACAGGAGUUCCUAGCAAGUUGUUUCACUGUGCUUGGCUGCCCAGGCACUCAGAGGCUGCUGCAGCCAUGGUCCCUGGAGGUGUGGCUACUGCUUAAGAUGGAGGCAGACGCUAGUGUCAUCCAUGUGAUGCUGGUUUUGCAGAAAUGCAGGAUGCUGGAGGUAGGGGGUCAGGGACGAUUCCACUGAGAUUUCAAAGAAAGGCCUCAGAGGCAUAAGCAGCCUCUGUUGACGUCUUGCUCCUGCAUCAAGGCCACUGUGAGCCAUCAACUCUGCUCAGCUCCAUGUGGUCCUCACAGCAGGACCUAGCUCACCAGAGGCCACAUCUGCAGACUAGUAACAAAUGCACCCCACAUACACACACUACAAGCUGACAGGUGCUAUGCAGAGCACCUCCCAGGGUCUUGCAGGAAGGCCUCUGCUGGGCUCAGCCAUGAUGGGCAGGCACACAGCCAGGAAGUCCCUGCUUCCUAGGAAGGUCAAAUGGGAACAAAGGCUGCAGGCGAGUCACCCAUGAGCAGGGGCCAGUUUCCAAAAUGAAGCCCCAGGAAGGAAAUUCAGCAGGCUAAGGACUGCUCUGUACCCCGAUGAGACCUCAGGAACACAAAGUCCCAGGGCCUGAGGAGUUGAACAGGCUCACCCGGAGGCCUGGCGGGGGAAACAGCAACAAGCUCAGAGCUUCUCAGCGGAUGCAGGAAGCAGCUUGACAGGUCCCGCCUCUUCUGAAAAUGCUGCACAGCCCGGAAGAGCAGGACCUGCUCCUGAACCAGGGGUCCACACUGAAAAGCCAACGCCUGGCCUAACUGGCAGAAGGCUUGGGUGUUUCUCCAAAGACUCUGGAAAAUCCUGAGUGACUUCUCCAAGAUCAAGGCCUGAUGCAGCGAGGUGGGACCCAGCCAAGGGAAAGAGGGGAGUAACGGGGGAAGGGCUGCCCAGCCCGGUGCGGUCAGCCUGUGGGGAGCAGGGCCCCAGGGCGGGGAGCCCUGCGGAUAGUCCACCAUCUCUGCGAGCUGUGCUCCAGGUGCCCACCCCGGCUGGCUGUUUUCCCAUGCCAAGGCUCUGGACACGGCAAAUCUCGUCACAUAGUAGUGACACUGACAGUAAUAAGUGGCACGUCAGAGAUGGACGAGGUGACCUACCUGUGGGUGCUGAGGAGGCAAGCCCCUCCCCAGACAUCCUGACCGGGACAGGCGAGUCAUCCAGACUGCCUGCCUGCUGCCCAGGCCUCCUACAUACUCCACCCUGAGUUUAACCCCAGCCUGCGUCAAGGGCCAAGUUGCUACAAGUAAACCUUCAGCUCUGCAGAGACCCCCAUCCAGGCCCAGAUGUGCGGGGUCCCAGGAGGGGGCAGUGAAGAGUGGGCAGGACCGCCGGCAGCCCUGAAAGGCCUCUGCCUCCAGGAUCUCAGGAGGCUCUUGAGAGGAGACACAGUGAUCCAUGCAGCCAGGAGGGGUGGACAGGUCUGCAGUGGGGCAGGGGAAUGGUCUCUGUAGGGGCCCAGAGGUGGCAAAGCAGACAGGAGUUCCCAGGAGCUGGAGGGAGCCCAGUGAGACUGCUGCUGAUGAGCCACGUGCUCAGGGCCAGGUACUGGAGGCUGGGGUGGGCAGAGGCCCUGAGCCAAGCCACGGGUGGAUGGGGCCUUCUGGAAAGCUGCAGGCCACCUGAAGGCGUAGGCUGGCCAGUGGGCUGCACCCAGGCCCCCAAUUCCACCCAGAACCGCCUGAGCAGGCCAGCCUUUUACCUGUCCUGGAGGGCCAUCCCUGCUCCCCUCCUGGGGAUGGCUGAGUGCCUCCAGGCUCUUGUGGAAGGCAGCCAAGGCCACAGGUCUUCAGAUCUCAGCUUUCGAGAGCUUCAGAGUCCCAGACCCCGCAGAUGAGAAGCCCCAAGCUGCUCUCACAACCUGAGGGGUCUCACACUGGACCCCGCCCCCAGGCAAGGGAGUGGUGGGCUGUGUCAUGUGGUCACUGCCCAGCCCUGCCAUCUGGCAGGACUGGGUGCCUCUGUACUCAGCACCCGCCCAUCCGGCAGAGGUCCUUGACUCCUCGCUGAGCCCUGGCGAGCAGGAACAUGGCCGGGCACCAUCUGAGGCUGAACACUGGGGAUUCAGGUGCCAAGCCACCCUCCGAGUACAGGACAGAUAGGCCCUGGAGCUCGAUCCUGUCCCCACACAGGUGGCAAACCAGCAACCAGGGGCCCUCACAGUGGCCUCAGUAUGGCCGCCCAACCUUACCCCCUAAACCCCGGGAGGACAGAGGGUGAGGGCCCCUGGCUGUGUCAGGGCCAGCAUGCAGCCACAUCACAGCUGGAGCCCAGGCCCCUGAGCCCAGGCCCUCAGGCUCACGGCCCUGGGGCAGCCUCUCCCCAGAGCCUGGCUUCCAGCCAAGCUCCCACCCCCUCCAGGACAGAUCAAUGGCUGGACCUAGCCUGUGCCCACAGAGGGUGUGGCACUCCAGGUUGGUCUAGUGCUGAGAGGAGGGGCCGGAGCCCCAUGCGUAGGUGGGGAGCCCAGUUGACCCGAGAGGGAGGUCAGGGACAAAAGCUGCCCUUCACUACAGAACUUGGGAGCACAGAGCCUGGAGCUGGUCAUGAGGGAGGUCCAGGGAACCAGCAACAGGCCAGGGGCAGGGGGGCUCCCGAGCUCAGGCCCCACCAGGGCUUCUGUGCCAGUCAAGGAUGUCCUGCACGUUUUGGCACUGAUCCUUGCCCAGGCUGCUCAACAGGCCAUGGACUGUCCCUAGCUGCGGCAGGAGGACCUCCUGAGGGAGUGAUUUUGGAAGCAAGUCACUGAGGUCUUCUGACACCAUCUCAUGCCACAUCUGUACUGCAGGGGACAGGUGCCCUCCCAGGGCAUAGACCCAACGGCCCAGGCUCCACAGGGUCAGCCUCAGCGCCAGUCACAGCCUGGACUCCUCUCCACUUGGCUCCCUUCUGGAAGAUGGGAGUCUCCUGCCCAAGCUGGGCCCUGUGGAGACCAGCACCCCGGGCAACAGCUUUCUUGUCACAGGAGCAUCCUGCCUUGGGACUUUGGGCCUAAUCCUGGGCUAAGAAGAGACAGUUGCAAGGAGGUGGUCUUCCUCCCACUAUCCCCAGGGCCAGGUCACUGCUUCUGCUGGACACCUGCUGCCAGCCCCCUGCCACUGUGUGUACCCACUGGUUGUGAAAAGCACUUGCAGGACCUGCCGCCUCAUCAGGGGAACUUAGAGCACAGACCAUGGCCUGCAGUUGAGGGCAGCCCAUGGACAUCCAUGUGGUCAGUUCCUGCGGAGAAGGUCCAGACCUUGGCUUGUGGUCACUGGGUGGGAACUCAGGGGUCCUGUCAGGCCAACCCCUCCUGGGACCUCGUGGCCUCCAGGAAAGGUGUUGGAAGCAGGGCUGGCUGACCAGUCAGGGCUGCACCCAGGCCCCCAACUCCCCACCCACCCAGAACUGCCAGAAGAGAUGGCCUCGACCACCCACUGCUGAAGAACCCUGUGGGCGUCUCACAUCCCCUCAGCCCCGUCUCCACGGCUGGCAGGUGGAGCUGCGGGUGCAGGACGUCCCUGUGGUGCCAGGAAAUCAGGGGCACAGUGGGGUCCUCUGCUCAGGGCUUCCUGGCCUGCAUGCCCAGUCUGGCUGCAGGACAGACCCACUAGUGUCCUGGCCCCCGUGCACAGCCCCAUGGCAGCAUCACCAACCCCCGCCCCCGCCCCACUGACUACAAACCUCAAAGGGCAGCAGGGUGCACUGGACACAGCAGGCCCGCUGCCCUGGCCAAGUCUCUGACCAAGGUGGGGUCACGUGGUCAGGAACAGGGCGCUCCCAGGAAGGAGCUUUCUUCCCCUCGCUCAGCUCUCCUUGCUGCCCCACCUCCCUCCCACCUGGGGAGGGGACGCCAGUUGGGUGCACUGGAUGGCAUUUUCGCUGCUGACUGGAACCCCACGACUCGCACAAUUCAGAGGGGAAAGGUCAUCUGGAUCAGGGCUAAGGCUCAGCCCAUGGCCAGCGGCUGCAGCUGAGGCAGAGCUUCACAGCAGCUGGACUGUGUGGGGAGGAAGCCACUCGGCUCCUGGCUGCUGGACGGAUCCACUGAUGAGGUCGGAGUCCCCAUGACCCAACCACCAUCCCAAAGGCCCCACCACUGUACACUGCUGCACCAGGGACCAAACCAUCACACCAGCCCUGGCUAGAGGUGGAAGUGGACAUGGCUGGGUGGGCCUGGAGAAAAGCUUUUACAAGAGAACAGAAGUAACCUUCCUAGUUCCUUCUUCCUCCUGCCUGGGAUGUGCAUGUGAUGGCUGGGGCUUGCUCGGCCAUACUCUAGAAUGAGGACAAGUACGAGACAGUGGCGCCUGGGCUGCUGAUGGCAUCAUGAAGUCUUGCACUGACACAUCCACAGAUGAGCUUCACGUGGGAUGGGUCUCUUCUCUCCUGCAGCACGUGGCAGGGGCUGGACAAAGAUCACACCAGAACAGAUGGCUGAAUGAAUGGGGUGGAGCUAGACAUGGCCCUGCCAAGGGACAGGCUUGGGCAGGAGCUGGGCCACAACUGGGCAGGCCAGGCUGCUCCAGUCAGAUCCUGGGCCACAUGCCAGAGACGCCAGGGUCCCAGGAGGUGAGAAGAAACGCUGUAGAGAUCCUUCCUGCAGAGUGAGCAGAGGCCUGCCGUGUGCCCAGCCCCCAGUCACGCCUCAUCAGGUAAUGAGAACCGGCUCCCGACCCCAGCGGAGGGGAGAGCCAGGGUGGAAGAGACCACCGCCUCUCCAGAAAACCCAGACACCAAACGACAAGAAGGCUUGUGGCUCACUCCAGGAGGUGCAGUGGGGGUUGUGCCCCGGCAGUCCUGACAUGGGUCCUGCCUGUCACCUACUGAGGUGACUGGGGGACACCAGGGGAAUCAGGAUCCCUCCAUGAAACCAUCUCUCUCCAGAUGAGAAACCAAGGUGCCUGGAGGCCUGUGUGUGUGUGCGUCUGCAGGUGUGUGCAGUAUCUGGUGCACACGUGGUAUGGGUGUACCUCACUUGCCCUGGGUCAAGGGCGGAAGGCCUGGGGGUAGGCUCACGGGCAGGGAGCAGCCCCACACCUAGCACCUGGUUCUCCAGGUCUAGUGGGCCUGGUGGAAGCCUCCCCUCGGGCCUCGUCUCCCCACCAGGGAGGACAAGCCCCACCCCUGGGCUUCCCAGCCAGGGAUGCCCGUCUCUGGCUCCAGAGCCUGUUUCUGGUGAUGUGGACAAGAGGGAUGAGGCCCCAGGCCCCAAAAGGCCUUGCAGGGACCCCAAAGCCUCUGCAUCUGCUCCUUCAGGAAGAAGCACCUGGAUUCAGAAACACAAGUGACUGCUCAUUUUUCUCCGAGUGACAUCCUACAAAAUUCUGACAUUUCAAUUUCAGUCUUAAGGAAGACUCGAACACAACCCAGCUCCAGGAGUGGGCCUGAAAUCACUGUUUUAACUCACAUUAUUUUUACACCUUUACAAGAAAAAUACAGCCCAACUGGGACUCGUUGACUUUACAAUAGGGCCAGGGUCUGUGGAGGAGCCAAGGCCAGAUGCCCCAGGAGCAGGGCUUCAGAGGAAGGUAGCAGGGCCACCUCCUGCCAUCUGCCAGCCUGCAGCUCCUCGCAUCCUCAGAAACCCAAGCCAGGUCACAGGCUGCAGUGGAGAACACGCUGGAGGCUGGAGGCCUGGUAUCCCGGGGAGUCACAUGCAGGCAGGACCUGGGUGGCAGCCAGCACCUCCCAAGGUUUCGGAUGAUGUUUUCACUGCACAAGGAACAUUCCAGAAGCAACAUGCCUGCUGUGUGUUCAGCACUUGGCUCCCGAGCCGCAUAGGAGCCUCCCAGCUUGGGAGCCGCGUCAGCAUAGGUGUCUUGCCCACCUCCAGCUCUGCUGGGGCCACUGCCCACCUGCCCAGGACACGUCUGGCGAUGUCUCAUCAGCCUUCACUCAGUAGCCAUGCUGUGGCUCAGGCGGGGGUGGACGAGCCAGAGACAGCCUCUUCUGAACAAAGCCUUGUGGACAGGGUGGUCAUGCCUCCAACCAACUUCAGUGUGGAAGUGUGAAGCCAGGCAGGCCAACCCCUCAGGGCCGGGCACAGGCCCUGCUGCUUCCAGGCCACCUGGCCCCCCUCCACCUCCUCCCAGACCCCCUGCUGGGGUAACCCAUCUGCUCCUCCUGGGUGCCCUAGUUGGCUCAUGGCCCUGACAGCAGGGAAGGAGGCCAGGCUCUAGGUGGAUGGAGACCGAGGGGGAGGGCUGCUGGGGACGUGGGAGCCAGGUGCAGGGCGCGGCCACCCAGCCCUCCACUCACUCACCCAGCAGCACCCCUUCUAGGUACCCUACAGUGCGGGUCUGUGCCCUCAGGAAUGAAGGGACACAACCAGCAGGGAACCUUCAGGCACAGGCGUGCAGGUGCUCAACCUCAAAGAGAGAGUCCUGCCUCCCAGCCCAGCCCCUCUGGCAGGGCCCCUCCCCACAACCCCAAGCCCAGCUCUGCUGCAUACAGGUCCUCGCCUGUGUCACCAACACCUUUCUUCCCUGCCCCACCAACCCAUGUGUCACCAGGCAGGGAUGGGGGCUUCUAGAACUGCAGGGCCCGCCGGACUGGUGGUGCUUGCCUGUAAUCUCAAGAGGCUGAGGCAAGAGGAUUAAAAGUUCCAGACCAGCCUCAGCCACUUAGUGAGACGUCAUCUCAAAAAACAGGAAGGGCUGGGGUGCGGCUCAGUAUAAAACGCCCCUGGGUUCCAUCCAUCCUCAGUACAAAAAAAAAAGUUCUGGUACCCAAGAAACCCCCAACCCAAGGA
Molecule: long non-coding RNA, 13395 nt
Organism: Marmota monax (woodchuck)
Lineage: Eukaryota; Metazoa; Chordata; Mammalia; Rodentia; Sciuridae
Exons: 2
Source: RefSeq, a predicted model, not a curated record